CCGGUUUCCACUGUGUUUAUUACUAAUAUAAAAAAAAUUAAAAAGAAAACAAAAUCAUUCUUAGUUCUAGCGCUCUCUCUCCUCUUGCACACAUACCUCCUGACCCACUUCCUUAGGGCCUGUUCAAAACCCAACAUGUUCACUGCUGUUUUCACAGAAAACACCCAGUGUGAGGGAAGUAAGAGGGUCAGAGAGGAGGGCACGACGGGGAGGCAGUCUGAAGAUGUCUCACAUCCUCCCGUUUUGGGAG
RNAcentral lists this long non-coding RNA (250 nucleotides) under Rattus norvegicus (Norway rat). Its description in RNAcentral is "long non-coding RNA NONRATT032815". The record is from RNAcentral. Lineage: Eukaryota; Metazoa; Chordata; Mammalia; Rodentia; Muridae.